AUUGAACGCUGGCGGCAGGCCUAACACAUGCAAGUCGAGCGGAGCGGCGGACGGGGGAGUAAUGCCUAGGAAUCUGCCUGGUAGUGGGGGAUAACGUCCGGAAACGGGCGCUAAUACCGCAUACUAUCAGAUGAGCCUAGGUCGGAUUAGCUAGUUGGUGGGGUAGAGGCCUACCCAGGCGACGGUCAGUAACUGGUCUGAGAGGAUGAUCAGUCACCCUGAACAUUAGACACGGUCCGGGCUCCAACAGGAGACAGCAGUGGGGACAUUUGGACAAUGGGCGAAAGCCUGAUACGGCGAUGCAGCGUGUGUGAAGAAGGUCUUCGGAUUGUAGAGCGCUUUAAGUUGAGAGGCGUUACCAACAGAAUACACACCGGCAAACUUCGUGCCAGCAGCCGCGGUAAUAC
RNAcentral lists this ribosomal RNA (407 nucleotides) under uncultured bacterium. RNAcentral describes it as "partial 16S ribosomal RNA". It matches the Rfam family "Bacterial small subunit ribosomal RNA", at positions 30 to 526 of the family's 1533-position model. The record is from RNAcentral.